RNAcentral lists this ribosomal RNA (450 nucleotides) under uncultured bacterium. Its description in RNAcentral is "bacterial SSU rRNA". It matches the Rfam family "Bacterial small subunit ribosomal RNA", at positions 354 to 796 of the family's 1533-position model. The record is from RNAcentral.
GUGGGGAAUUUUGGACAAUGGGCGCAAGCCUGAUCCAGCAAUGCCGCGUGCAGGAAGAAGGCCUUCGGGUUGUAAACUGCUUUUGUCAGGGAAGAAAUCUUCUGGGCUAAUACCCCGGGAGGAUGACGGUACCUGAAGAAUAAGCACCGGCUAACUACGUGCCAGCAGCCUCGGUAAUACGUAGGGUGCGAGCGUUAAUCGGAAUUACUGGGCGUAAAGCGUGCGCAGGCGGUUUUGUAAGAUCGAUGUGAAAUCCCCGGGCUCAACCUGGGAACUGCAUUGGUGACUGCAAGGCUGGAGUGCGGCAGAGGGGGAUGGAAUUCCGCGUGUAGCAGUGAAAUGCGUAGAUAUGCGGAGGAACACCGAUGGCGAAGGCAAUCCCCUGGGCCUGCACUGACGCUCAUGCACGAAAGCGUGGGGAGCAAACAGGAUUAGAUACCCCUGUAGUCC